ACUCAAAUGAAUUGACGGGGGCCCGCACAAGCGGUGGAGCAUGUUGUUUAAUACGUCACUAACCGUAGAACCUUACCAGGGCUUGACAUCGCUGGACCGCCGGUGAAAGCCGGUUUUCCCCGCAAGGGGACCAGAUGACAGGUGUUGCAUGGCUGUCGUCAGCUCGUGUCGUGAGAUGUUGGGUUAAGUCCCGCAACGAGCGCAACCCUCACCCCAUGUUGCCAUCGGGUCAUGCCGGGAACUCUUGGGGAACUGCCUGGGUAACCGGGAGGAAGGUGGGGACGACGUCAAGUCAGCAUGGCCCUUACGCCCUGGGCUACAAACAUGCUACAAUGGACGGUAGACAAAGGGAUCCGAGACCGCGAGGUGGAGGCAAUCUCAAAAAUCCGUUCUCAGUUCGGAUCGCAGGCUGCAACUCGCCUGCGUGAAGUCGGAAUCGCUAGUAACCGCAGAUCAGCUAAGCUGCAGUGAAUACGUUCCCGGGCCUUGUACACACCGCCCGU
Molecule: ribosomal RNA, 503 nt
Filed under: uncultured bacterium
Lineage: Bacteria
Description: partial 16S ribosomal RNA
Rfam family: Bacterial small subunit ribosomal RNA
Source: RNAcentral